CCUAUCAACUUUCCAUGGACUUUCUGCGACUACCAUGGUAAACACGGGUAACGGGGAAUCAGGAUUCGAUUCUG
Non-coding RNA from Pelobates cultripes (western spadefoot toad), 74 nucleotides. Lineage: Eukaryota; Metazoa; Chordata; Amphibia; Anura; Pelobatidae. The record is from the annotation of a GenBank genome assembly.